AAAAAAAUGGAAGCAAACAACGAAUUAUUGGAAAAUGCAAAUCAGUGUGGUGCUAAUGAAGAUUCUGGAGGUGUGUGCGUUUUACACAGAAGUAAUGAAAUAUUCGAAGAUUCAAGAAGUUCUGGUAAUGACCAGGAGGAUUCCGAACAUAACAACAUUUUACAUACAAU
Long non-coding RNA from Rhagoletis pomonella (apple maggot), 170 nucleotides. RefSeq lists it as uncharacterized. The record is from RefSeq and is a predicted model, not a curated record. The transcript is spliced from 3 exons. Lineage: Eukaryota; Metazoa; Arthropoda; Insecta; Diptera; Tephritidae.